GACGAACGCUGGCGGCAUGCCUAAUACAUGCAAGUCGAACGCUGAAGCACUCUGCUUGCAGAGUGCGGAUGAGUGGCGAACGGGUGAGUAACACGUGGGAAAUCUGCCUAAAAGUGGGGGGUAACAUUCGGAAACGGAUGCUAAUACCGCAUACAUUCUUGAACCGCAUGGUUCUUGAAAGAAAGACGGCUCUGCUGUCGCUUUUAGAUGAUCCCGCGGCGUAUUAGUUAGUUGGUGGGUUAAAGGCCUACCAAGACCAUGAUACGUAGCCGACCUGAGAGGGUGAUCGGCCACACUGGGACUGAGACACGGCCCAGACUCCUACGGGAGGCAGCAGUAGGGAAUCUUCCACAAUGGGUGCAAACCUGAUGGAGCAAUGCCGCGUGAAUGAAGAAGGUCUUCGGAUCGUAAAGUUCUGUUAUUAGAGAAGAACAAGUCGAGGAGUAACUGUCUCGACUUUGACGGUACCUAACCAGAAAGUCACGGCUAACUACGUG
This 497-nucleotide ribosomal RNA is filed under the name uncultured bacterium. Its description in RNAcentral is "partial 16S ribosomal RNA". It matches the Rfam family "Bacterial small subunit ribosomal RNA", at positions 28 to 507 of the family's 1533-position model. The record is from RNAcentral.